AUUGAACGCUGGCGGCAGGCCUAACACAUGCAAGUCGAACGAGUGGCGGACGGGUGAGUAAUGUAUGGGAAACUGCCUGAUGGAGGGGGAUAACUACUGGAACCGGUAGCUACUACCGCAUACCAUCAGAUCUGCCCAGAUGGGCUUAGCUAGUUGGGGGGGUAACGGCUCACCAAGGCGACGAUCCCUAGCUGGUCUGCGAGGAUGACCAGCCCAACUUGAACUGAGACACGGUCCUGACUCCUACGGGAGGCAGCAGUGGGGAAUUGUGCACAAUGGGCGGAAGCCUGAUGCAGCCAUGCCGGGUGUAUGAUGAAGUCCUUCGGGUUGUAAAGUACUUUCAGCGGGGAGGCUGAACCCGCAGAAGAAGCACGGGCUAACACCGUGCAAGCAGCCGCGGUAGAC
Molecule: ribosomal RNA, 405 nt
Filed under: uncultured bacterium
Lineage: Bacteria
Description: partial 16S ribosomal RNA
Rfam family: Bacterial small subunit ribosomal RNA
Source: RNAcentral